RNAcentral lists this ribosomal RNA (378 nucleotides) under uncultured bacterium. RNAcentral's name for it is "bacterial SSU rRNA". It matches the Rfam family "Bacterial small subunit ribosomal RNA", at positions 367 to 762 of the family's 1533-position model. The record is from RNAcentral.
CGCAAUGGGCGAAAGCCUGAUGGAGCGACACCGCGUGAAGGAUGAAGCCUUUGUUGGUGUAAACUUCUUUUCUCUGGGAAGAUAAUGACGGUACCAGAGGAAUAAGGGGCGGCAAACUUCGUGCCAGCAGCCGCGGUAAUACGAAGGCCCCAAGCGUUAUCCGGAAUUACUGGGCGUAAAGCGUCUGUAGGUGGUUUGGAAAGUUUCAAGUGAAAGGUCGGGGCUCAACCCUGUACUUGCUUGGAAAACUAUCAAACUAGAGUGUGGGAGAGGCAAGCAGAACGGUAUGAGUAGGGGUGCAAUCCGUUGAUACAUACCAGAAUACCAAAAGCGAAGGCAGCUUGCUGGAACACUACUGACACUGAGAGACGAAAGCGU